GAGCCGGUGGCGUUAUUGAACCCCAACAGUCCCUUCAAGAGGUCCGCCAAGCCCGGGUCGAAGGACCCGGAUGAAGGCGGCUCGGACCGCUUCAGCACCGCCAUGGAGUGGACGGUGGACACCUUGAUCUUGCCCCCCAGGGAAGCGGCGUUAAGGGCAUUUUGGAGAUUCUGCAUAGCCGGCAGCAGCUGCGUCAUCAGGUUCCGGUCGGUGGAGGUCAUGACCUCGUUGCCGACGGUGACGAGGAUGAUGUUGCUCGCAGGAUAGAAGGGAAGGACGUUAGUGUUAAUCCAGUUUUUGGCAAAGUUGGGAUCGCCUGCUAGGGCGGGGAUGUCGCCGUUCGCGGCGCCGAUUACGAUUCCGAUGCCGGUGUUCGCUAGGGCCUUGAUGAUGGCCGGGUCCGCCCCGUAGAGUCUGACCUUUUCAAUCGCGGUGGUUUGGAGAAGCCUGGCGGUGGCCGACGGCGGAGGGAGGUUGUCGGCGACUUGCCCGUAGUUUACCCCAAUGAAUGAUUCCGAGUCUGCUAAAAAGAGAAGAAAUAGAGCAAUGAUAAUCAAAGAGCUGGGAUUUCAGAAAAGAAGAAUUUUAGUGCUUACAAAGCCAAAAAAAAAAAAAAAAACAUACUUGCGACGUAAAUGGCCUGAAGGAUGAAAAGGAAGAGGAAGGAUAAAACAAAACGAAGCCUCGCCAUGGCUGAGCUGAAGUGAUGAUCUCUAUCUCUCUCUCUCUCUCCCUCACCCUCUCUUCUGCGGAAUACAAUAAGGCGAAGAGGACCAUAAAUAUAGUAUUGUGGAGGGCAAAAUCGUAAAGAUCGAGGGCUUUAAUCAGCAAUUCAUGGAUGGAGAACAGUUUAAAGCAUCGGAGAUGAGAGCUGGAAUCUGGAAGGUCUAUGGUGGGGUCUGGUUUUCAAUUUCUUGCGGCUUUGCAUUUUGGAUGGAGGGGUAUAAAGGGGAGACUCGAGCGAAGGUUCCCUCUCUUUCCAGACGGCUUUACCGCCCAAGGAAGCUGUUUGAAUCUUGAAGUGACUUUAAUACCCUCAGAUUCGAUCAUAACACAUUCAUCCAAAAAACAGGGUGAUAGCUACCAGCUGAUGCUUUUGGAAUUGCUUGAAGCAUGAUACAAGGAUUACAAUCCAGGUGAAAGUUCAGUAUAAAGUUUACAAAUGGAUGUAUAGCAUGCAUGAGCUGCAAGUUAUCAAAAUUCGCCUUACCCACCAAAAACAGAAGAAGAAACCGGAAAGUGGAUGUUCUCUGUUUUGAUCAUCAGAUAUAUAUUAAGUUGGCCUUUCUUCAUAAAUGCACGCUUGGACAUGAAAAAAUAUAUAUAGCAAUUCAAGAAGUUCUAUGUGGGUCAUUCUCCUUCCUUUGUAUUUUGUCAACAGCGAGAAACAUCCAUUGAAUGAAUGAAUGAAUGGCUUAAUGCUUAAUUACCUCCGGCCAUGGAGUUCGAAUGGCUGGAUCGCUGAGUGGCAGCCAUGCGCUCUUUCCGCAGCCGCAGGUCGUCCAACAGCUUCUGUGCGAAAUCGGACCGCUUCGCCAUCUUUCAGUUGGAAUUCAGGACAAAGGGCCAAAAUCCAAAGGAAAAAAUCUCUGGGAUACAGAAUGACCGAACAUAUGAGGUAAUGCUUGUGGUUGUUCUUUCUUUUGCAGAUAAGAACAGAGGAGAGCAAGGGGGAAUGUUGCAUUUGGCUUUUUCAGUUGAGAGGGCUCUUUCGGUGUUGGGUAACAUAGGAACUAUAAAAUAGACAUGGAAAUUUAAUCUCUCUAAAGGUUGACGUAAACGUUAGCUCUCUCUCUCUCUCUCUCUCUGUGAAGGGUCUUUUUGGCACUCGAGUGAAAUUGAGCCAGUGACGUUUAUUCUAAUCUAAGCAAUAGGCAGAGAUUUCAAAAGGGCUUCUGUUCCAAGCCCCCUUCUUCCUUCCUUCAUCGUCAAUCUCUCUCUCUCUCUCUCUCCCUCUCUCUUCUUUUUCUUUUGGCAGAAUGAAUGCUUAGCACUUUGCAGGUGUUUGUGUUCUGUAUUUUGCAGGGGUGAUGGAAUGAGCAGAGUGCUUUACUUGCACACAUUUUCUUCUUUCUUGUUUUGUUUUUGAGGCACAAGCAAUUAAAGGGCAGGGGAUUGGGAAUCGCCGAGUCGGGUUUGGGGGUUGUAGAGCAAUCAAGUUGGGACACGUGGCAGAGACUCGUGGAAUCCAGGGCACUUGAGUUGGGUGAUGUAAAUUAAAGUCAACUCCUUUUAAUUUGCAUUAGGACUUUAAGGGAUCAA
Long non-coding RNA from Malania oleifera, 2262 nucleotides. RefSeq lists it as uncharacterized. The transcript is spliced from 2 exons. Lineage: Eukaryota; Viridiplantae; Streptophyta; Magnoliopsida; Santalales; Ximeniaceae. The record is from RefSeq and is a predicted model, not a curated record.